AUUGAACGCUGGCGGCACGCCUAACACAUGCAAGUCGAGCGGUAGCAGGACCUGUAGCAAUACAGGUUGCUGACGAGCGGCGGACGGGUGAGGAGUACGUAGGAACCUGCCUUAUAGUGGGGGAUAACUAAGGGAAACUUUAGCUAAUACCGCAUAAUCUCGAGAGAGGAAAGCUACCGCAAGGUGGCGCUAAAAGAGGGGCCUGCGUCCGAUUAGCUAGUUGGUGAGGUAAGAGCUCACCAAGGCGAUGAUCGGUAACUGGUCUGAGAGGACGACCAGUCACACUGGGACUGAGACACGGCCCAGACUCCUACGGGAGGCAGCAGUGGGGAAUAUUGGACAAUGGGGGCAACCCUGAUCCAGCGAUGCCGCGUGAGUGAAGAAGGCCUUCGGGUCGUAAAGCUCUUUAGGUUGGGAAGAAGGGUGUUAGAGGAAAUGCUAAUACUUUGACGGUACCGACAGAAUAAGCACCGGCUAACUACGUGCCAGCCGCCGCCGUAA
Molecule: ribosomal RNA, 501 nt
Filed under: uncultured bacterium
Lineage: Bacteria
Description: partial 16S ribosomal RNA
Rfam family: Bacterial small subunit ribosomal RNA
Source: RNAcentral